Molecule: ribosomal RNA, 253 nt
Filed under: uncultured bacterium
Lineage: Bacteria
Description: partial 16S ribosomal RNA
Rfam family: Bacterial small subunit ribosomal RNA
Source: RNAcentral
UACAGAGGAGCCAAGCGUUGUCCGGAUUGACUGGGCGUAAAGCGCACGCAGGCGGACGCGCGCGUGGGGUGUGAAAUCUGGCCGCUUAACGGCCAGGCGCCAUCCCAUACGGCGUGUCUGGAGUGAUGCAGAGGUCGGUGGAAUUGCCGGUGUAGUGGUGAAAUGCGUAGAUAUUGGGAAGAACACCAGUGGCGAAGGCGGCUCACUGGCCCGUAACUGACGCUGAGGUGCGAAAGCGUGGGGAGCAAACAGG